Molecule: ribosomal RNA, 1478 nt
Filed under: uncultured bacterium
Lineage: Bacteria
Description: bacterial SSU rRNA
Rfam family: Bacterial small subunit ribosomal RNA
Source: RNAcentral
GACGAACGCUGGCGGCAGGCUUAACACCUGCAAGUCGCACGAGAACGUUCUGGCUUUGCCAGGACAAGUGCCGUGGCGGAGCGGUGCGUAUCGAGUACAUAACCUGCCGUCCGGCACGGGACAAUCACAGGAAGCCUUGGCUAAUACCACAUGUCGAUUGGGCCCGCGCAUGGGGACCAAAUGAAACCCGUGCGGCGCCAUUGGUAUGGCUCUGCAUUGGAUUAUCUCUGUGGUGAGGCAUCGGCUCAGCAACGAUACGAUCCUGGUCUGGUCUGAUAAGACGAUCAGCCGCGGUGGAAAUGAGACCCAGACUCCACUCGUACGGGACGCAGCGGAGGGGAGUCUUGCGGGGUGGGGUCAGCCCUGAUGCUGCCAUGCGGCGUGGAAGAACACACUCGUGUGGGGCGUCCUUUCCUUUUCUGAAAAACCAAACUCCUGUAGGUGCGUGGCGCGACCGUAGGACUAGAGUAAGGACUCGGUUAACGCCAUGCCCCCCGCCACUGUAGAAGGGACGGUGCUUGCCUUGACUCGAAGCGCUGGGUGGAUGUGGUGGUCAGGCGGCGCAUCAAGUCUGAUGUGAAACCCCAUGGCUCAACCAUGGACGUGCAUUCUAAACUGUCUGCUCUUGAGUCCAGGAUAGGCUGUCUGAAUUCUGUGGUGUAGCGGUGAAAUGCGUACAUAUCACGAGGAACACCCGAAGCCAAAGCGGGCAGCUGGACGGGUAGUGACGCUCAGGCACGAAAGCGUGCGGAGCAAACAGGAUUAGAUACAGUGGUAGUUCACGCGGUAAUCGAUGAACGCUCGCAGUUGCCCUGCUCAAGGGGCAGUGGAUAAGCUAACGCGUUAAGCGUUCCACAUGGGGAGUACGAUCGCAAGGUUGUAACUCAAAGGAAUUGACGGGGGCCCGCACAAGCGGUGGAGCAUGUGGCUCACUUGGAUGCAACGUGAAGAACAUUACAUAGGCUUGAACGGUAGAGGACCGCUCAGGAAUGGGUGCUUCCCGUGUGGGGUUUGUAGCGAGGUAUUGCAUGGUAGUGGUCAGCUGUUGUCGUGAGAUGUUGGGUUAAGUCCCGCAACGUGCGUAACCCAGGGCGAUCGUUACCAUUGGGUAGUGCCGGGGAAUCUAGGGAAAUUGCGUGCGCAAGCAGGGAGGAAGGUGGGGAAGACGUCAAGUCAUCAUGGUCCUUAAGCGUCGGGAUGCACACGUGUUACAAUGGCCGGUACAAGGGGUAGCCACCUGGCGAGAGUGAGCGAAUCCGAGAAAACCUGUCCCAGUUAGGAUCGGAGUGGGCAAGUGUACUCCAUGAAGCAGGAAUAGGUAGUAAUCGCGGAUCAGCAAUGAUGCGGUGAAUCCGUUCCCGGGCGUUGUACACCCCGCCAGUCAAGCCAUGGAAGGUGAGAACACCCGAAGUCCGUGAAUCAACUCGGGCCUCGCGUUGGAGAGAGAGCGGCCGAAGGUGAGUUCAGUGACUGGGGCU